CUUAUGAUUGAUAAUCUUUUUCUUCAUUUCAGAAAGACCAGACUGAAAGAAAACUAGUCAUAGAAACUACCAGGAGCAGUCAAUUCUGCUUCUGUCACUUCUAAUACACUCACCUCUUCUGUGUGCCUACAUCCACUGGUUGGUCUCCAUAGAUGUUCAGUAAACACUGAUGAACAUCAAUGGGUACCAUGUUUUCUAUGUGUAUUACCUACCUUUGCUUCUUGCACUUCUGUUUCAGACUGCCUCUCUGUUGCCAUUGGUUGCACAGCAACAAAGUGUAACAUAAUAUUGGUGGGAAUGUUCAAAAGCUGUUGCCAUACCACCGGCAUCUACUUGUAGGUCAUGGAGCAGUAUAAUACAUAGAACACUUUUGGAGCAGCCUUUGUAUGAAGAAGUAUGCCUGUUUUCCAAUCAAGAUAAACUACAGAAGUGAAGAAGCUGUGCUGUGUACUCUUCACAUGGGACUUCUGAGACUUCUGCUUUUAGUGUUUGGGUUUUUCUGUUAAUGUUUGUUUCUACCAGUUCUCGGACUGUGUCUUUGCUGUCACAGCUGGAGAAGAUCAAUUUGGACUCUGUAUUGGCAGAAGCAGAUAAUGCCAGAUAUGUUACUGCAAAGAUCCUUCAUUUGGUCCAGAGUCAGGAAAAAACCAAGAAGGAGAUGACUUCUAAGGGUUCCAGUGCAGUAGAAGUUAUCCUGUCAACCCUAGAG
Non-coding RNA from Meleagris gallopavo (turkey), 709 nucleotides. The record is from RefSeq and is a predicted model, not a curated record. Lineage: Eukaryota; Metazoa; Chordata; Aves; Galliformes; Phasianidae.